CCCAAGGGCUGCACGGAACCAGCCCGCCGGCAGCUCUCGGCGUGCCCGGGGAGGAGGGCGAAGGAGUGAGCUCACGCCGCGGCGCUGGAGCGUGACCGGAGCAGCGGCCGCCUGCGGAGCAGCGAGGCGGGGGAGUGCACAGAAACAGGCAGUGUGACAUUCCCACCAUACCCUUGUUCUUCAUUAAAGUCUUGGAUACGCAGCCUGUGCCUGCUGAGGUAGACUGAGAGAGUACGGGAAGGAGGAACAGGGCAGGAUCACCAGUCGAUACAGCAGAACAGGACAGAGUUUUCAGGGCUGGAUGUAAGCUUCAGGAGGACCAACGGCAGAGGGUUGUGCACCCAGAUCCUGAUGGUAUGGCUGGAAAUAUGCACUACCAUGAUGUCCAUGGGAGAUGACAACUGCUUAAUUAUGCCCACACCUGGAUCUGUAUGCUGAGGAUCAUUAGGAAGGUUAAAAACCAGCAAGACUGAUGUCAGCCUACAAACAGCUUUGAGAACAUGAACAAUAGCUGUGAGAACCAUUGACUGGCCUGUUUAUAUCUAUUGUGUGUUUGCUUGGAUGCAUAAGGAUUAUUUGAAGGAAAUUGUUUUGUUCUGCUGCUUACCGUCUUAGUAAACGCAUCUAGAUAACUUGUUGUUUAUUGUUGUUGGAUGCUGUAGCAGAUAGCGAGUCAAGCUGAAGUAGGACAGCUGAUCACUGGGAGCUUAUACCAGUUUGUUUAAAAUUACCUCCACCACUCUCCCGAACAAAGGAGAGAAAGAAAUUAUAUUCCCUAUUACAAAGGGCCCUAGCAUAUAGUCCUAAAAUAGGUUCUCCAGUAGUGAAGUCAGCUAAAGACGUCUCCUGUUUGGCUGCUUGUCCCUAUCCAUUCGGUUGUGCUGCCAAAGAUGCUUGUAGGCCAAGCUGUAAACCAGACCACUGAAACCCUCUUGGUUAAAUCCUCCAACAGAUAAAAAGAGACAAAUGAAAAAUAUUGGGAAACUACAGCCUUUGUUUCCUCCAAAUGGUCUGGACUGCAAAACACCCAGUUGUCACUGGGCCAUCUGAAAACCUUCAGCUUCCUUCUGGUAACUAAAAGAUGAAGUUGCUGCAAUCUUAAAACUUGUAUUAGCAAAACUGAAUGUAAUUCAACUAUACCAAUAAGCCACAGAUGAGAGGAAUAGGCAAAUUAAGGAUCCAGAGAGACAAUACACAGU
This is a long non-coding RNA of Gymnogyps californianus (California condor), 1199 nucleotides long. RefSeq lists it as uncharacterized. Lineage: Eukaryota; Metazoa; Chordata; Aves; Accipitriformes; Cathartidae. The transcript is spliced from 3 exons. The record is from RefSeq and is a predicted model, not a curated record.